CCUACGGGAGGCUGCAGUGAGGCAUAUUGGUCAAUGGGCGAGAGCCUGAACCAGCCAAGUCGCGUGAAGGAUGACGGCCCUACGGGUUGUACACUUCUUUUGUCAGGGAGCAAUUGGGUCCACGCGUGGGCUUAGCGAGAGUACCUGAAGAAAAAGCAUCGGCUACCUCCGUCCCAGCAGCCGCGGAAAUACGGAGGAUGCGAGCGGUAUCCGGAUUUAUUGGGUUUAAAGGGUGCGUAGGCGGAAUAUCAAGUCAGCGGUAAACAUUCGGGGCUCAACCCCGUCGAGACGUUGAAACUGAUGUUCUUGAGUGGGCGAGAAGUAUGCGGAAUGCGCGGUGUAGCGGUGAAAUGCAUAGAUAUCACGCAGAACUCCGAUUGCGAAGGCAGCAUACCGGCGCCCGACUGACGCUGAAGCACGAAAGCGUGGGGAUCGAACAGGAUUAGAUACCCGGGUAGUC
RNAcentral lists this ribosomal RNA (460 nucleotides) under uncultured bacterium. RNAcentral's name for it is "partial 16S ribosomal RNA". It matches the Rfam family "Bacterial small subunit ribosomal RNA", at positions 338 to 795 of the family's 1533-position model. The record is from RNAcentral.